ACGGAUAUGACGAAAUAGGUAGACGUAUUAGACUUAGACUCUAAUAACUUAUAGUUGUGAGGGUUCGAAUCCCUCUAUCCGUA
This 83-nucleotide transfer RNA is filed under the name Pterocladiella luxurians. RNAcentral describes it as "tRNA-Leu". It matches the Rfam family "tRNA". Rfam says of the family: Transfer RNA (tRNA) molecules are approximately 80 nucleotides in length. Lineage: Eukaryota; Rhodophyta; Florideophyceae; Gelidiales; Pterocladiaceae. The record is from RNAcentral.